AGCCUGAACGCUGGCGGCGUGGCUAAGACAUGCAAGUCGCACGGACCCGCAAGGGUUAGUGGCGAACGGGUGAGUAAUGAAUCGCUAAUGUACCCCGGACUCUGGGAUAGCUAACCGAAAGGUUAGGUAAUACCAGAUGAUAUGCAGCUGUCGCGUGACAGUUGCCUCAAAGGUCCGCCGGUCUGGGAGCAGGCGAUUUCGUAUCAGUCUUGUUGGUGAGGUAAUGGCGUCACCAAGGCGACGACGCGUAGCCGGACUGAGAGGUUGGCCGGCCACGAUUGGGACUGAGACACUGCCCAGACUCCGUAACGGGGGCUGGACGACGUAACGAAUCUUCCGACAAU
Molecule: ribosomal RNA, 344 nt
Filed under: uncultured soil bacterium
Lineage: Bacteria
Description: bacterial SSU rRNA
Rfam family: Bacterial small subunit ribosomal RNA
Source: RNAcentral